RNAcentral lists this ribosomal RNA (772 nucleotides) under uncultured bacterium. RNAcentral's name for it is "bacterial SSU rRNA". It matches the Rfam family "Bacterial small subunit ribosomal RNA", at positions 117 to 878 of the family's 1533-position model. The record is from RNAcentral.
GUGAGUGACCUGCCUUUUAGACUGGAACAACUUACCGAAAGGUGAGCUAAUGCCGGAUGAGUUAUAUAAGUGCAUGUUUAUAUAGGAAAAGUUGGGGAGACCUGACGCUGAAAGAUGGACUCGCGUCCCAUUAGCUAGUUGGUAGGGUAAUGGCCUACCAAGGCGACGAUGGGUAGCCGGCCUGAGAGGGUGGCCGGCCACACUGGGACUGAGACACGGCCCAGACUCCUACGGGAGGCAGCAGUGGGGAAUUUUGCGCAAUGCUCGUAAGAGUGACGCAGCGACGCCGCGUGAAUGACGAAGGCCUUCGGGUCGUAAAGUUCUUUCGACAGGGAAGAAAAUGCCUAUAAGUAACUGUGUAUGUAUUGACGGUACCUGUAUAAGCAGCCCCGGCUAACUCCGUGCCAGCAGCCGCGGUAAUACGGAGGGGGCGAGCGUUGUUCGGAGUGACUGGGCGUAAAGAGCACGUAGGCGGUGUUGUAAGUCAUUAGUCAAAGACUAGAGCUCAACUUUAGUAAGGCUAGUGAUACUAUAAUACUAGAGUAUCAGAGAGGAUUGCAGAAUUCCUGGUGUAGCGGUGAAAUGCGUAGAUAUCAGGAGGAAUACCGUUAGCGAAGGCGGCAAUCUGGCUGGAAACUGACGCUGAGGAGCGAAAGCGUGGGUAGCAAACAGGAUUAGAUACCCUGGUAGUCCACGCUGUAAACGAUGGAUGCUAAGUGUUGGGCUUUUAAGUUCAGUGCCGCAGCAAACGCGAUAAGCAUCCCGCCUGGGG